RNAcentral lists this transfer RNA (82 nucleotides) under Caerostris darwini. RNAcentral's name for it is "tRNA-Ser". It matches the Rfam family "tRNA". Rfam says of the family: Transfer RNA (tRNA) molecules are approximately 80 nucleotides in length. Their secondary structure includes four short double-helical elements and three loops (D, anti-codon, and T loops). The record is from RNAcentral. Lineage: Eukaryota; Metazoa; Arthropoda; Arachnida; Araneae; Araneidae.
UCAGUCGUGGCCGAGUGGUUAAGGCGAUGGACUUGAAAUCCAUUGGAGUUUCUCCACGCCGGUUCGAAUCCUGCCGGCUGCG